RNAcentral lists this ribosomal RNA (687 nucleotides) under Metschnikowia mauinuiana. RNAcentral describes it as "LSU rRNA". The stretch from base 98 to 687 matches the Rfam family "Eukaryotic large subunit ribosomal RNA", at positions 1 to 807 of the family's 3401-position model. Lineage: Eukaryota; Fungi; Ascomycota; Pichiomycetes; Serinales; Metschnikowiaceae. The record is from RNAcentral.
UGCACUUGAUCUAGCAUCAAGUAUGGGGGAGUGAGAGAGUAUUUCUUCGGCCACCUCGUUUGGUGCCGGCUUUUAUACCUCAAAUAAAUAAACCAUUUUUUCCUCACUGCCCCAAGACUACCCGCUGAACUUAAGCAUAUCAAUAAGCGGAGGAAAAGAAACCAACAGGGAUUACCUUAGUAACGGCGAGUGAAGCGGUAAAAGCUCAAAUUUGAAAUCUUCGGAAUUGUAAUUUGAUGGAUAAAAUUGCUAACUGACAAAAGUCCAUUGGAAGAUGGCGCCAUAGAGGGUGAUAGCCCCGUUAUUGUCAACUUGCACUAUAAUUUUAUUCCAAAGAGUCGGGUUGUUUGGGAAUGCAGCUCAAAGUGGGUGGUAAAUUCCAUCUAAAGCUAAAUAUUGACGAGAGACCGAUAGCGAACAAGUACAGUGAUGGAAAGAUGAAAAGAACUUUGAAAAGAGAGUGAAACAGUACGUGAAAUUGUUGAAAGGGAAGGGGAGGGAAGAUGUUAAAGGAACUCCUUGCUUUUGCAGGGAUUCCCCCAAGAGUCUUUCCUCUCGCCCGUCUUGAAACACGGACCAAGGAGUCUAACGAUUAUGCAAGUAUUUGAGUCAACCCCCAAAUGCGCAAUGAAAGUAAUUGGUCAACCCUACCCUCCUGUCCUAAUGGGCGGGAGAGGAAGCAUAAUU